RNAcentral lists this small nucleolar RNA (138 nucleotides) under Callithrix jacchus (white-tufted-ear marmoset). Its description in RNAcentral is "Small nucleolar RNA SNORA70 (ENSCJAG00000031368.3)". It matches the Rfam family "Small nucleolar RNA SNORA70". Rfam says of the family: snoRNA U70 seems to be exclusive to mammals and is a member of the H/ACA class of snoRNA which contain H (ANANNA) and ACA box motifs. H/ACA box snoRNAs are involved in the conversion of uridines to pseudouridines (5-ribosyluracil) a constituent of structural RNAs (transfer, ribosomal, small nuclear, and small nucleolar). The record is from Rfam by way of RNAcentral. Lineage: Eukaryota; Metazoa; Chordata; Mammalia; Primates; Cebidae.
CUGCAACUAGUUAACCUCCUGACUUGUCCACCUCCCUGAUGGGGGCUUAGUGUGCAGUGUCUGCAAAAUGGAGAUUCCCUGGUUGUGUAUACACAUCGUUUCUUGAAUGUGUUGCUUUAAUGGUUCUUGAAGACAUUA